GAUCAUGGCUCGAGGACGAACGCUGGCGGCGUGCUUAACACAUGCAAGUCGAACGGUGAACCAGAGCUUGCUCUGGGGAUCAGUGGCGAACGGGUGAGUAACACGUGGGCAACCUGCCCCAGACUCUGGGAUAACCUCGGGAAACCGAUGCUAAUACCGGAUACGACCACUUCGGACAUCCGACGGUGGUGGAAAGUUUUUCGGUCUGGGAUGGGCCCGCGGCCUAUCAGCUAGUUGGUGGGGUAAUGGCCUACCAAGGCGACGACGGGUAGCCGGCCUGAGAGGGCGACCGGCCACACUGGAACUGAGACACGGUCCAGACUCCUACGGGAGGCAGCAGUGGGGAAUAUUGCACAAUGGGCGAAAGCCUGAUGCAGCGACGCCGCGUGAGGGACGACGGCCUUCGGGUUGUAAACCUCUUUCAGCAGGGACGAAGCGAAAGUGACUGUACCUGCAGAAGAAGCACCGGCUAACUACGUG
RNAcentral lists this ribosomal RNA (480 nucleotides) under uncultured bacterium. RNAcentral describes it as "bacterial SSU rRNA". It matches the Rfam family "Bacterial small subunit ribosomal RNA", at positions 15 to 507 of the family's 1533-position model. The record is from RNAcentral.